UAAUAGGUAUAUAUGGAUGGUGCAGUAUUCUAGUCGGUCUACCAUUCCUGAAGGUGGGGCUAAAAAUCCACUAAAGGGCACAUCGAUGAAGUUCCUUGUUUUGGCUUGAGGCGCCCAGCCUUGGGUCGAUUCAGGGAGUAAGGUGUAAGGGCGAUCUGCAAAGGCAUGUGGGCGUUGACCCUUUCACCGCGGAGGCCCCGAUGAUCAGGCUUGAGCGAAAGCGUACGGCCCUAUGGUCUCGGGUUAUGAACCUGCAAUGUGGUCCCAUGGGAGGUCACUAGCAGCGUAGCCUGCCUUGAGUGAAGAUAGAGGGGAUUACAGUUAUAAGGGCAUACAUCAGUUGGCCAUUGAUAUAUGCUUUUUCGCCUGUAUGAAAUCUUCUUUGCAAAAGAGGCUAGGGAAAUGGUUAAAGGCUGCCGAGGAAAUCUCCUAGACUGUUCCAAUGACAUAUAAAGGGGAUUAUAGUGCGGACUAAGUGGCAAUCCAGUCUAGCUGGUGGCGACACGGCUAAGGCGUAUUUAAAGGGAAACCGCCGGUAUGGCGACAUCCGGUAUUCGCUUGGGAAAACCUACUGGACCUAAGCCGCAAUCUUAACCCUUUGUAUGGCCAUCCUUCUUUCGAGUUUC
RNAcentral lists this small RNA (626 nucleotides) under Cytobacillus oceanisediminis. The record is from RNAcentral. Lineage: Bacteria; Bacillati; Bacillota; Bacilli; Caryophanales; Bacillaceae.